Molecule: ribosomal RNA, 1103 nt
Filed under: uncultured bacterium
Lineage: Bacteria
Description: bacterial SSU rRNA
Rfam family: Bacterial small subunit ribosomal RNA
Source: RNAcentral
AGAGUUUGAUCAUGGCUCAGAGUGAACGCUGGCGGCGUGCUUAACACAUGCAAGUCGAACGAGAACGGGUAUUAGCUUGCUAAUACUGUCAGCUAAGUGGCGCACGGGUGAGUAAUAUAUAGGUAAUGUGCCUUGAAGAAGGGGAUAACAGUUGGAAACGACUGCUAACACCCUAUAUGCCUUUAAUACACAAGUAUGCAAGGGAAAUAUUUAUAGCUUCAAGAUCGGCCUGUACAGUAUCAGUUAGUUGGUGAGGUAAUGGCUCACCAAGACAAUGACGCUUAACUGGUUUGAGAGGAUGAUCAGUCACACUGGAACUGAGACACGGUCCAGACUCCUACGGGAGGCAGCAGUGGGGAAUAUUGCACAAUGGGGGAAACCCUGAUGCAGCAACGCCGCGUGGAGGAUGACACAUUUCGGUGCGUAAACUCCUUUUAUAUAGGAAGAUAAUGACGGUACUAUAUGAAUAAGCGCCGGCUAACUCCGUGCCAGCAGCCGCGGUAAUACGGAGGGCGCAAGCGUUACUCGGAAUCACUGGGCGUAAAGAGCGUGUAGGCGGAUAAAUAAGUUGGGAGUGAAAUCCUAUGGCUCAACCAUAGAACUGCUUCCAAAACUGUUUAUCUAGAAUAUGGGAGAGGUAGAUGGAAUUUCUGGUGUAGGGGUAAAAUCCGUAGAGAUCAGAAGGAAUACCGAUUGCGAAGGCGAUCUACUGGAACAUUAUUGACGCUGAGACGCGAAAGCGUGGGGAGCAAACAGGAUUAGAUACCCUGGUAGUCCACGCCCUAAACGAUGUACACUAGUUGUUGUGAGGCUAGACCUUGCAGUAAUGCAGUUAACACAUUAAGUGUACCGCCUGGGGAGUACGGUCGCAAGAUUAAAACUCAAAGGAAUAGACGGGACCCGCACAAGCGGUGGAGCAUGUGGUUUAAUUCGACGAUACGCGAAGAACCUUACCUGGACUUGACAAUAGUAAGAACUUUCUUAGAAGAAUAGAAGAGGUGUCUGCUUGCAGAACUUAUUAUACAGGUGCUGCACGCUGUUCGCAGCUCGUGUUCGUGAGAUGUUGGGGUAGUCCGCACGAGCGCAUCCCUCGUCGUAAGUUG